This 447-nucleotide ribosomal RNA is filed under the name uncultured bacterium. RNAcentral describes it as "SSU rRNA". It matches the Rfam family "Bacterial small subunit ribosomal RNA", at positions 26 to 518 of the family's 1533-position model. The record is from RNAcentral.
AGAGCGAACGCUGGCGGCAGGCUUAACACAUGCAAGUCGAGCGGGCGUAGCAAUACGUCAGCGGCAGACGGGUGAGUAACGCGUGGGAACGUACCUUUUGGUUCGGAACAACCCAGGGAAACUUGGGCUAAUACCGGAUAAGCCCUUACGGGGAAAGAUUUAUCGCCGAAAGAUCGGCCCGCGUCUGAUUAGCUAGUUGGUGAGGUAAUGGCUCACCAAGGCGACGAUCAGUAGCUGGUCUGAGAGGAUGAUCAGCCACAUUGGGACUGAGACACGGCCCAAACUCCUACGGGAGGCAGCAGUGGGGAAUAUUGGACAAUGGGCGCAAGCCUGAUCCAGCCAUGCCGCGUGAGUGAUGACGGCCUUAGGGUUGUAAAGCUCUUUCGCUAGGGACGAUAAUGACGGUACCUAGACAAGAAGCCCGGCUAACUUCGCGCCAGCAGCCGC